Regulatory RNA element from Cavia porcellus (domestic guinea pig), 259 nucleotides. It matches the Rfam family "Mason-Pfizer monkey virus packaging signal". From Rfam's summary of the family: The packaging signal is located in the 5' UTR and is required for specific RNA encapsidation. The record is from Rfam. NCBI's taxonomy places the organism in Eukaryota, Metazoa, Chordata, Mammalia, Rodentia, Caviidae.
UGGCACCCGUCGUGGGGCUCCUGGCACGAAGGGCUCAACGAGGGAGCCGUCCUGAGACACGCACGUAAAAGUGAAACUAAAAGUUUUGCGACCAAUGCUACGUGGGAGCCUGCCGCGCCGCUAGAGUCAUGGGUCAGGCAUUAAGUGACCAUAAACACUUUGUAUCAACUUUAAGUAAAUCUUUAAAGACAAGAGGGAUAAAGGCUAAAGAAAAAGAUUUAUUGCAGUAUUUUUCAAUUUAUUCAUAAGGUUUGCCCUU